GGGCACAUGGUGUAGUUGGUUUAUCACGCCCGCUUAGCAUCUGUGUUGUGUAUGCGGGAGGUGUUGGGUUCAAUUCCCAAUGUGUCCA
Molecule: non-coding RNA, 88 nt
Organism: Armillaria fumosa
Lineage: Eukaryota; Fungi; Basidiomycota; Agaricomycetes; Agaricales; Physalacriaceae
Source: the annotation of a GenBank genome assembly